AUUGAACGCUGGCGGCAGGCUUAACACAGGCAAGUCGAGCGGAGAUGAGGUGCUUGCACCUUAUCUUAGCGGCGGACGGGUGAGUAAUGCUUAGGAAUCUGCCUAUUAGUGGGGGACAACAUUCCGAAAGGAAUGCUAAUACCGCAUACGUCCUACGGGAGAAAGCAGGGGAUCUUCGGACCUUGCGCUAAUAGAUGAGCCUAAGUCGGAUUAGCUAGUUGGUGGGGUAAAGGCCUACCAAGGCGACGAUCUGUAGCGGGUCUGAGAGGAUGAUCCGCCACACUGGGACUGAGACACGGCCCAGGCUCCUACGGGAGGCAGCAGUGGGGAAUAUUGGACAAUGGGGGGAACCCUGAUCCAGCCAUGCCGCGUGUGUGAAGAAGGCCUUAUGGUUGUAAAGCACUUUAAGCGAGGAGGAGGCUACUGAGACUAAUACUCUUGGAUAGUGGACGUUACUCGCAGAAUAAGCACCGGCUAACUCUGUGCCAGCAGCCGCGGUAA
RNAcentral lists this ribosomal RNA (501 nucleotides) under uncultured bacterium. Its description in RNAcentral is "partial 16S ribosomal RNA". It matches the Rfam family "Bacterial small subunit ribosomal RNA", at positions 30 to 523 of the family's 1533-position model. The record is from RNAcentral.